RNAcentral lists this ribosomal RNA (495 nucleotides) under Triticum aestivum (bread wheat). RNAcentral describes it as "partial small subunit ribosomal RNA". The record is from RNAcentral. Lineage: Eukaryota; Viridiplantae; Streptophyta; Magnoliopsida; Poales; Poaceae.
AUGACAUGCAAUCCAAAAUGGGAAGAGAUAACUAAUGAGUUGCUGCCUGGUCAGACGGCGCAAGACCGACCUGAUAUUGUGGCUCGCGUGUUCUACGACAAACUAGAGGCUAUGAAAGACAUGUUGUUCAAGAAGCAGAUCCUGGGUGUUGUUGUCGCUUAUGUGUACGUAGUCGAGUUCCAAAAAAGGGGCCUUCCCCACGCAUAUUUUUUGUUGAUCAUGGACUCAGCAUAUAAGCUUAUCAUCCCAGAGCAGUAUGACCGACUCAUAUCAGUAGAGCUCACAGACAAGCAUAAGUAUCCCGAAUUGUAUGAAAUGGUGGUAAAACAUAUGAUGCACGGACCAUGCGGUCCUCUCAAGCCAAAGAAUGUUUGCAUGCAAGAAAACGGAUGGAAGUGCAGAUACCCGCGGCCGUUCAAUGAAAACACAGCAUGUGUUGCAGUUGCCUCUUCAUCUCCCGAAUAUGCACAAGGUUGCAUUCAAUGCGUAGGUUGA